RNAcentral lists this non-coding RNA (21 nucleotides) under Arabidopsis thaliana (thale cress). Lineage: Eukaryota; Viridiplantae; Streptophyta; Magnoliopsida; Brassicales; Brassicaceae. The record is from RNAcentral.
UCUUGUGAUUAUCUCUUGUGU